Molecule: ribosomal RNA, 1779 nt
Filed under: Triticum aestivum (bread wheat)
Lineage: Eukaryota; Viridiplantae; Streptophyta; Magnoliopsida; Poales; Poaceae
Description: partial small subunit ribosomal RNA
Source: RNAcentral
AUGCCGGCGGCGGUCGCCUGCUCCGUCAAGUGCCGCCCCCACCACCGACUCUCGGCGCCGCAGCCCCACGCCGCGCUGGAGCUUCUCCCCCGCGCCCCGGCCUCCGCCGCCGGUGAGCUGCGGGCGACCCGGUGCCGGACUCCGCCUUCCCUGUCCUUCGCGCGCGCCUCCGACCAAGGGGAGGCUCCUCGAGCUCCCUGCCGAAGCCCGCCGUCCGCGAGGCGGGCCCGCGCCUCCGUGGCGGGGGGCGAGGAGGCCGGCCCCGCUUCUUCCGCGGCCGCGGCCGCCCUACUCGCCGGCGCGCAGUCGCGGCACGCCAUAUUCCGCGAGGAGCUCGUGAGGAGGGCCUACUACGCGGCCGAGGCGGCCCACCGCGGCCAGAUGCGCGCGAGCGGCGACCCUUACCUACAGCACUGCGUGGAGACGGCGGCGCUGCUCGCGGAGCUCGGCGCAGGCCCUCCGGUUAUCGCGGCGGGGCUGUUGCACGACACGGUGGACGACGCAGGCCUGGAUUACGGCUCCAUCUCCGAGCAAUUCGGUGCUGGCGUUGCGGACCUCGUGAAGGGGGUUUCUAAUCUAAGUCAUUUGAGCAAACUGGCCCGUAGAAACGAUACAGCGAGCAGAAUUGAUGAAGCUGACAGACUGCGUACGGUCUUCCUUGCAAUGGAGGAUGCGAGAGCAGUGCUUAUCAAACUUGCUGAUAGACUACACAAUAUGAGGACGUUAGAUUCAUUGCCCAAGAUCAAACAGCAGUGCUUUGCGAAGGAAACACUAGAGAUAUUUGCUCCAUUGGCGAAUCAAUUGGGGAUCUUGAACUGGAAGGAGCAGCUUGAAAAUCUGUGUUUCAAGCAUCUUUACCCAGAGCAAUAUGACGAACUGUCAUCCAACCUUCAUGAGUUUUACAACAGAGAUAUGAUUGCAGCUGCAAUAAGGCGACUGGAACAGGCCCUUCAGGUGAGAGGGCUAUUCUAUCGUUCCAUAUCAGGGAGGCACAAGAGCAUCUACAGCAUCUACAGCAAGAUGACAAGGAAAAAACUGGACAUGGAUGAAAUCUAUGAUGUACAUGGAGUGCGUGUGAUACUCGAGAAUAAAGCUGAUUGCUUCACCACAUUAGAAGUUGUCCAUCACUUGUGGCCUAGAAUUCCUGGGAAGUUUAAGGACUAUGUCAGCAGCCCCAAAUCUAAUGGGUACCAAUCGCUGCACACGGUUGUUCUCAGUGAAGAAACACUCCCAUUAGAGAUCCAAAUUCGUACUGCGGACAUGCACUUGCAGGCAGAGUUUGGAAUCGCUGCACAUUGGAGGUACAAGGAAGGCGUUCGGAAUUGCUCUUCAUCUCUGCCUGAAAUGGUUGAAUGGGUUAGAUGUGUUGUUACAUGGCAGUGUGAAACUCUGCACACAGAUCACCCUUCGCCUCCUGGACUUGGUUCGUCCCCAAGGGCAACAUGCACCUUCCCUUCUGACUCUGAUGGCUGUCCUUUCUCCUAUUCAAAACAAUGUGACCACACUGGACCAAUCCUAGUAAUACUUCUGGAGAAUGAAAAGAUGUCAGUGCAAGAACUCCCUCAAAAUUCGAAAAUACUGGACCUAUUGAAGAGGGCUUCAAGCUACGACAUGCAGUUGAGCCUAAGGCUGAACAGCCAUGCUGUGCACAACCUGAACCAGGAGCUGAAGAUGGGCGACGUGCUGGAGCUGAUUCCUUCAACUCAAUGCAAGUCUGGAGGCUACAUGAGGGAGUUCAACCAAAUGCCUGACCACCGUCUCGCGGUUUCGCAGUCUUGA